UAAUUCGUGAGUGGCAAACGUUAUCCGGAAUCACUGGGCGUAAAGCGUCCCUAGGGGGCGAUAUAAGUGCAGUGUUAAAUUCACCAGCUCAACUGGUGGCAUGCGCUGUAUACUGUAUUGCUUGAGGUAUGUAGAGGUGAGCGGAAUUUCCAGAGUAGGGGUAAUAUCCGUAGAUACUGGAAGGAACACCAAUAGCGAAGGCAGCUCACUGGACAUCACCUGACCCUGAAUGACGAAAGCGUGGGGAGCGAACCGGAUUAGAUACCCGGGUAGUCCACGCCCUAAACGAUGGUCACUCGGUAUGUGCGGUCUCGACCCCGUACGUGCCUAAGCUAACGCGUUAAGUGACCCGCCUGGGAAGUACGGCCGCAAGGCUA
RNAcentral lists this ribosomal RNA (377 nucleotides) under uncultured bacterium. Its description in RNAcentral is "bacterial SSU rRNA". It matches the Rfam family "Bacterial small subunit ribosomal RNA", at positions 521 to 896 of the family's 1533-position model. The record is from RNAcentral.